CAAAAAAAAAAAAGAAAUCUGAUAAAAAUUCAACUACUUCAGCAAGAGAAAGAUCAGAGUGCACAGUGGAUCCUCGUCAGCAAUAAAAAUGAGUUCUCAUACAGGGAAGCAAAGCUGCCCCUUCGAGUUUGAGACAACAUUAUAUAUAAAUACAAGAACUAGGUGUGCAUUAGUUAGUUGGCAAGAGGUGCGUUUGGUUGGGAUUCAGCUCGUGGGGCGGUUCGUGGUGGAGGCAAGGUAAGGCAAGGUGGUGGUCUUGGUUUAACCAAAGAUCAGAUCAGUCAUGGCCAACUGCUUUGUCCUUUUUAGACUGCUUUUCUUGCUUCUCUCUCUCUCAGUUGUUCAAAUACACAGCCUUGGCGUUGGGAUCAACUAUGGCCAGAUUGCUAACAAUCUUCCAUCUCCAUCUCGAGUUUCGCUUCUCCUUCAAUCCUUGAACAUUACAAGGGUAAAACUCUAUGAUGCUGAUCCAAAUGUCCUACUUGCCUUCUCCAAUUCAAAUGUUGAUUUCAUUAUUGGACUUGGAAAUGAGUACCUUCAGAACAUGACAGACCCCAUCAAAGCUCAAAAUUGGGUUCAACAGCACCUUCAACCCCACCUCCCUCAGACCAAAAUCACUUGCAUUACUGUAGGAAAUGAGGUCUUCAUUAGCAAUGAUACUCAGUUAAUGUCUUAUCUACUCCCAGCAAUGCAAACAGUAUAUCAUGCUCUUGUUAAUCUUGGACUAGAUAAGCAAGUGACCGUCACAAGCGCGCAUUCCCUCAACAUCUUGGCCAACUCCUACCCUCCUUCUUCUGGGAGUUUUAGACCAGAUCUUGCUGAAUUUAUUCAACCCCUUUUGAAUUUUCAUUCUCAAAUUAAUUCUCCUUUCCUUAUCAAUGCAUAUCCUUAUUUUGCAUACAAGUAUAACCCGAGUCAGGUGCCUUUAGAUUAUGUCCUUUUCCAGCCUAACCAAGGGUUGACAGAUCCAAAUACGAAUUUGAAUUAUGAUAAUAUGUUGUAUGCUCAAAUUGAUGCUGUGUAUUCGGCAAUUAAAGCAAUGGGGCAUACAGAUAUUGAAGUAAGGAUUUCGGAGACAGGUUGGCCAUCUAAAGGGGAUACAGAUGAAGCAGGAGCUACACCUGAAAAUGCAGGCCUAUAUAAUGGUAAUCUAUUGCAGAGAAUACAGGAGAAGCAAGGUACACCUGCAAAACCAUCAGUUCCGAUUGAUGUAUACGUUUUCGCACUUUUCAAUGAGGACUUAAAGCCUGGUCCGACAUCAGAAAGGAACUAUGGGCUAUUCUACCCUGAUGGUACCCCAGUUUAUAACAUUGGAUUACAGGGUUAUCUUCCAGAGUUAACUUAUUCUUCAGCAUCCACGAAAAAUGUUUUAUCUGUAUUCAGUGCAGUGAUCUAUGUUAUGAUAAACUUAAUCUGUGCUUAGGAGCACCUGAUUCACUGGUAGAGGGAGGGAGAGACUAACACAAUCAAAUUCUUAGAGAUCGUAUAACUGCAAGAGGAGUUUUUUUUUUUUUUCUGAAAAGGUAAAAAAUGUCAGCAGCCAGCAGGAUAAUAUUAUUCCAUCAGUGGACAAAGCAUCUCUUUGCAAGUUUCUUUCUGUAAAACAAUAAAAUAUAUGAGAUUAUUAAUCACUAACAAAUCAGAAGGUUCCAUCCUCGAUUGGUCAUUCAUCUAUAGGUUAAAUUUAAUAGAGUCUUUUACAGGGAAUAUGGUGAAACUGAGGUAGGCUGAGAGCUAUUUCAUGGAAAUACCAAUUCUUUUGACAGACGUCUAAUAAAGUAUUUUAUGAGAAAUAGAUUGUUUGAACUGGUUUA
Hevea brasiliensis (rubber tree) is the source of this 1814-nucleotide RNA transcript. It is a transcript of the gene named glucan endo-1,3-beta-glucosidase 14, with no coding region annotated. Lineage: Eukaryota; Viridiplantae; Streptophyta; Magnoliopsida; Malpighiales; Euphorbiaceae. The record is from RefSeq and is a predicted model, not a curated record. The transcript has 4 exons.